GCGGUGACUUGGCUUCGUCUUUUCUCUCCUCCGCCAUGUCUCCUCUCCUUCACCGCAGGCCCUGAGAACAAGCAGAUUCCAGGCAGUGCGUCACGUCCAAGACUGUCUGCUGAAGAAUC
Molecule: non-coding RNA, 119 nt
Organism: Tinamus guttatus (white-throated tinamou)
Lineage: Eukaryota; Metazoa; Chordata; Aves; Tinamiformes; Tinamidae
Source: RefSeq, a predicted model, not a curated record